GUAGAUAGAUGGAGAUAAAAUAGGUAAUAAAAAGAAAAAAAGAAAUGAGAGAGGUUUGGACUCUACAUAGCCUAGUAGUCUGAAAUACAGUGGCAACUGGAGACAUGUCUUCUUCACAACCUUCCAUCUGGUGGGUGCUCAGGUUAGUAUCUCCUUUAUCUUAAAGAUGAUAUUUUUUUCAAUUAUAUCCAAAAAUUUGCCAGAAUUAUCAACCGCACAUUUGUUAUCGAAAUAUAUUAUCUUGUAAUCCUGUCCAAUUUUCUACCUACCGAAAACUGAUCACUUUCAUUUCCAGGACUGAAAAGAAAAUUAGUGAAAGAAAAAGAAAAUUCUAGAACCUGGUAGUUGAUACAUGGUAUUUUGUUGGUCUUUGUUGGCUGCAUCGCACAGAGACUUUAAUAGGGUUCUCGUGCGCAAAAACACCAGCCGACAUUGAUUAAUGAUAUUUAUUAUUAUUAUUAAUCACCUUUAUUUCGCAUUGCAUAAUUCAUUUUCUGUCUCCUACCUAUUGAUAAACUUAAAUCUAGGGUUUGAGUCUAUUGUAUUUAUUUAUAUAUUAACUUAUCAAAUACUUCGCCGAAUUUACACGGUCAUUAUUAAGGUGGUUGAAGGUCGUUCGAGUUUAUUGUAUUUACUUAUCUACAAACUUAUCAAAUACUUUGUUAGAACUUACACAAUCACUGGAGACUAAUAUAUGUACUUAUAUGUAAUAAGGAACUUAUCAAAUACUUUAUUAGAA
Molecule: long non-coding RNA, 739 nt
Filed under: Zostera marina
Lineage: Eukaryota; Viridiplantae; Streptophyta; Magnoliopsida; Alismatales; Zosteraceae
Description: long non-coding RNA (ZMAR_LNC003500)
Source: RNAcentral